RNAcentral lists this ribosomal RNA (465 nucleotides) under Vreelandella stevensii. RNAcentral describes it as "partial 16S ribosomal RNA". It matches the Rfam family "Bacterial small subunit ribosomal RNA", at positions 338 to 795 of the family's 1533-position model. Lineage: Bacteria; Pseudomonadati; Pseudomonadota; Gammaproteobacteria; Oceanospirillales; Halomonadaceae. The record is from RNAcentral.
CCUACGGGGGGCAGCAGUGGGGAAUAUUGGACAAUGGGGGCAACCCUGAUCCAGCCAUGCCGCGUGUGUGAAGAAGGCCCUCGGGUUGUAAAGCACUUUCAGUGAGGAAGAACGCCUGGUGGUUAAUACCCAUCAGGAAAGACAUCACUCACAGAAGAAGCACCGGCUAACUCCGUGCCAGCAGCCGCGGUAAUACGGAGGGUGCGAGCGUUAAUCGGAAUUACUGGGCGUAAAGCGCGCGUAGGUGGCUUGAUAAGCCGGUUGUGAAAGCCCCGGGCUCAACCUGGGAACGGCAUCCGGAACUGUCAAGCUAGAGUGCAGGAGAGGAAGGUAGAAUUCCGGGUGUAGCGGUGAAAUGCGUAGAGAUCGGGAGGAAUACCAGUGGCGAAGGCGGCCUUCUGGACUGACACUGACACUGAGGUGCGAAAGCGUGGGUAGCAAACAGGAUUAGAUACCCCUGUAGUC